CUGGAACCUGAAAUCUUUUAUAAAGGCUCCAUAAAAAUACAGACUCACCAGUUCCUGCUUUGAUGUGACAUGUGACUCCCCAGAAUACACCUUGCUUCUGU
RNAcentral lists this small RNA (101 nucleotides) under Pan troglodytes (chimpanzee). RNAcentral's name for it is "processed transcript". The record is from RNAcentral. Lineage: Eukaryota; Metazoa; Chordata; Mammalia; Primates; Hominidae. RNAcentral also lists the same sequence under 1 other name.